RNAcentral lists this ribosomal RNA (467 nucleotides) under uncultured bacterium. RNAcentral's name for it is "partial 16S ribosomal RNA". It matches the Rfam family "Bacterial small subunit ribosomal RNA", at positions 28 to 506 of the family's 1533-position model. The record is from RNAcentral.
GACGAACGCUGGCGGCGUGCUUAACACAUGCAAGUCGAACGGAAAGGCCCUGCUUUUGUGGGGUGCUCGAGUGGCGAACGGGUGAGUAACACGUGAGUAACCUGCCCUUGACUUUGGGAUAACUUCAGGAAACUGGGGCUAAUACCGGAUAGGAGCUCCUGCUGCAUGGUGGGGGUUGGAAAGUUUCGGCGGUUGGGGAUGGACUCGCGGCUUAUCAGCUUGUUGGUGGGGUAGUGGCUUACCAAGGCUUUGACGGGUAGCCGGCCUGAGAGGGUGACCGGCCACAUUGGGACUGAGAUACGGCCCAGACUCCUACGGGAGGCAGGAGUGAGGAAUAUUGCACAAUGGGCGGAGGCCUGAUGCAGCAACGCCGCGUGCGGGAUGACGGCCUUCGGGUUGUAAACCGCUUUCGCCUGUGACGAAGCGUGAGUGACGGUAAUGGGUAAAGAAGCACCGGCUAACUACGU